Molecule: long non-coding RNA, 322 nt
Organism: Patiria miniata (bat star)
Lineage: Eukaryota; Metazoa; Echinodermata; Asteroidea; Valvatida; Asterinidae
Exons: 4
Source: RefSeq, a predicted model, not a curated record
UGGCAGUCAAAUGUCAGCUAUAAACGUACAGAAUAACAAGAGUAUGCUAAAAAUGCCUGAGUCGACCAAGCAGUUGAAACAGGAACAAUAUGUUCUAAAAAAUAUAACAAAUGGCUUAACUGAGGGACUGAGUGAACAGGAGGAACAGAUCAGUGGGACUGAAGCCAGCUUCUCAUCAGCUGUCACUCAAACACAGUAGCUCAAGACCAACGGCUGCACCUCUAAGGAGCAGGGCACGGGCAAAGGCUGUAAAAGGAAAAAGAAUCAGACACUGGCCAGCACAAAAAGCAGGCCCAGUCCAGAGUGCUCAGAAAAAGAGAUA